Pelobates cultripes (western spadefoot toad) is the source of this 288-nucleotide non-coding RNA. Lineage: Eukaryota; Metazoa; Chordata; Amphibia; Anura; Pelobatidae. The record is from the annotation of a GenBank genome assembly.
AUUUUAUUUUAUUUCCAAUUGUUCCUACUGAGAGCACUAUUUGCUGUUUCCUAUAUCCUGUGGGAUUUGACGGAACCCAAGUCGGACGGACGGACCAACCAUCCCAGUAUAUCCUGAAGUGGGGAUUAUACCACUAAGUGCCCUCCAUCUCAGAGCUGGACUUAGCUCCAUCAAAUGUUUGUUCCAAAUCCUGAUUCUGAUUUAAUUUUUAUCCUUGGAUCUACAAUACUUCACUAUCAGCAGUUCUUUUUGUGUUUCUUAUUUUCACAUAAACGGACGAUUUCUAAC